CCGACCUUAGCUCAGUUGGUAGAGCGGAGGACUGUAGAUCCUUAGGUCCUGGUCCGAAUCCGGCGGGUCGGA
RNAcentral lists this transfer RNA (72 nucleotides) under Rhododendron molle. Its description in RNAcentral is "tRNA-Tyr". It matches the Rfam family "tRNA". Rfam says of the family: Transfer RNA (tRNA) molecules are approximately 80 nucleotides in length. Their secondary structure includes four short double-helical elements and three loops (D, anti-codon, and T loops). Lineage: Eukaryota; Viridiplantae; Streptophyta; Magnoliopsida; Ericales; Ericaceae. The record is from RNAcentral.